This is a long non-coding RNA of Heterocephalus glaber (naked mole-rat), 1896 nucleotides long. The record is from Ensembl. NCBI's taxonomy places the organism in Eukaryota, Metazoa, Chordata, Mammalia, Rodentia, Bathyergidae.
GUGGGGAGGGGUGGACAUAGUUGCACCUGUGCAGAUAGAUUUACUUCCUUUAAAGAAAUACUUCUUUCACAACUACUGGGUUAGGCUGUCCUUCUUAGUAUGACAUUACUUGUCUUUUGGAGGUGUUGCUGUUACCUUCAAGCAUUGGGUCACAGAUCUUGGAGUGGACCCUAAAGGUGACAGAAAGCCUGUGCAAGCUUGGUCAACGUAGUUGCUAGAGAAAAAAAUUAUUUAUGAAGUACCUACCAUGCCUCAGGCAUGGGCUCUUUCCAUGGCAUUUUCAAUCAAGUGAAGCACAUUGGACAGGUGUUGGGAGCAGAGAGCACGUGGAAAAUUCUUGCCUGCUUUUCAACAUCCACCCAAGAAGUAAUCAUUGGGCAAAACUGACCACCAGGCCUCAUCUCACUGCAAGGGGGCUGAAGAAUGUGAGGAAGCAAAUGAAUACUGAAAGCAAGAUAUACUUUGCCACAGAACUCUUCUAAAUGCAGCUAAACCUUCCCACAGCUAAGAUGCAUGGGGUUCUGGGCAGUGGGGGGUAGACUGAAAUGUCCAUCUGGAGAGGAGGUCAGGGAUGGAUUGAGAUAGAGCAGAGGAAUCAGAGAUGCAGCGAUAGCCUCAGAGAGGGUUGGGAGCCUAGUCAGCACGAUGCAUGCCCAGCCUGGACCCAGAGUCCUGCCAAAGGUCUGUUCUUGGAGACCUUGGAAGGAAAGGGUCCCUUGAGGCUUUCGAUUUUCAACCCCCCCCCCUCCCAGGUGAGUCACCAGAUGAACAGCAGGGCAGGAACCCAACAUGAGGUCAUCUGGGCCAUACCUCCUGCCUGACCCUGGACCUCAGGCCAAUUUGGGGAGUUUCUCAAGGCCAGUGAGGAAAGGGUUCAUGCCAGAGCUGCUGCAGAACUCAGGUCAUCACUAAGAAGUAGAGGACAGAAGACAAAGCUCCAGCUGGCAGAGAAAGAUGAAUGUGAGAGAAGGAAAAGUUUUAUCUAAGCCUGGAACCCAAGAAGAGAACCUCUGCCUGCCCAAAUCAGAUCAACACAAAUCUAUAUUUUCAAAAAACCUAAAGCAAGGAAAAUGUUAGCUUUAUAAACUCCACUUUGGAAAAGUUUUAGAACAGACCUUAUUAUAGAGUUCCACUAAGGCACCUGGUAUGGUAUUUCAUAUGGAAUUUGAUUCACAGAACUUUUAAUUUCAUCAGUAAAAUGUUAUUAACAACUCCCAUCUUGUAAGGCAUCAAAAGUUUUUAAAACAUGGUGUCCAAUCAAAAUUACAUCUGUCUGUAGGUUCCUUAAGGUUCUCCAAAUCACUAGGAAUACAGAGGCCCCUGUCUGUUCAAAUCAGGAAAAUGUGAGACCCUUUUCAUAAAGGAGAAACUGACAUUAGAGUAAGAAUUGGAGCCCAGACCUGGGAAGUUGUCAACCCUCUCUAUGGCCAAGAGGAAGAAGUGUGUGGGACCUGGUCAGUUACAGAACUUUUUCAGUUCUGAAUCUCACAUCCUUUCUUCAGUAGGCAUCCAUAGAAGGGAAUUGCUUCUGUGAGCGAGAGGCCAGGGUUCAUUCAAGGAGCAAACUCUCUUCCUCUUUUAUCUUGUCCAGGGAUGCCCAAAGGACCUGCCCUCUGCUGAUAUCUACAAAAGAUGAUAUUUUCAAAAUGUCCAAGAGUCUCUGAUCUGUGUGUUCAGCAGGAUAACCAAGCUACUGCCUAUCAGAGCAGGGGGCCUAACACCCCUUCCAUUACUGGUUGGCUCUGAUUAUCUUGAGGCUGCCAUGCUUUGAAGAAGUCAAACCACAUAGAGAAAUCAUCAGUGUUGGCCCCAGUGCCAAAGGUGUGAGUGAGGAGCCUUCAGACAACUCCAGCCCCCAUCCCCUGCCUGGGAGCCCACUCAGCUGGAGCACCAGAC